AAUGUGUGGCAUACGGCUCAGUAACACGUAGUCAACAUGCCCAGGGGACGUGGAUAACCUCGGGAAACUGAGGAUAAACCGCGAUAGGUCACUACUUCUGGAAUGGGUAAUGACCCAAACCUAUAUGGCCCCUGGAUUGGACUGCGGCCGAUCAGGCUGUUGGUGAGGUAAUGGCCCACCAAACCUGUAACCGGUACGGGCUCUGAGAGGAGGAGCCCGGAGAUGGGCACUGAGACAAGGGCCCAGGCCCUAUGGGGCGCAGCAGGCGCGAAACCUCUGCAAUAGGCGAAAGCUUGACAGGGUUACUCUGAGUGAUUUCCGUUAAGGAGAUCUUUUGGCACCUCUAAAAAUGGUGCAGAAUAAGGGGUGGGCAAGUCUGGUGUCAGCCGCCGCGGUAAUACCAGCACCCCGAGUGGUCGGGACGUUUAUUGGGCCUAAAGCAUCCGUAGCCGGUUCUACAAGUCUUCCGUUAAAUCCACCUGCUCAACAGAUGGGCUGCGGAAGAUACUAUGGAGCUAGGAGGCGGGAGAGGCAAGCGGUACUCGAUGGGUAGGGGUAAAAUCCGUUGAUCCAUUGAAGACCACCAGUGGCGAAGGCGGCUUGCCAGAACGCGCUCGACGGUGAGGGAUGAAAGCUGGGGGAGCAAACCGGAUUAGAUACCCGGGUAGUCCCAGCUGUAAACGAUGC
RNAcentral lists this ribosomal RNA (687 nucleotides) under uncultured Nitrososphaerota archaeon. RNAcentral describes it as "bacterial SSU rRNA". It matches the Rfam family "Archaeal small subunit ribosomal RNA", at positions 73 to 763 of the family's 1478-position model. The record is from RNAcentral. Lineage: Archaea; Thermoproteati; Nitrososphaerota.